AAGAAUAUGCAUAUCCUUGCUUCAGGGCCUGAACUACAGGCAGUUAGAUUUGGGUAUGCCAUUUUAGGUGAAAAUUGAAAAAAAUUGACAAAACGAAAGAGACAACACAGAGACAGCAACAGAAGAAUGGGUGAUGGAGAAAGACACCCCAGACAAGACAUAGAGACCGGAACAGAAGAGGAGAGACACAUCGCACAAGACAGAGACAGCAACAGAAGAAUAGGUGAUGGAGAAAGACACCUCAGACAAGACAUAGAGACCGGAACAGAACAGGAUAGGCACAUCGGACAAGAAAGAGACAGCAACAGAAGAAUAGGUGAUGGAGAAAGACACCCCAGACAAGACAUCGGGACCGGAACAGAAGAGGAGAGACACAUCGGACAAGACAGAGACAGCAACAGAAGAAUAGGUGAUGGAGAAAGACACCCCAGACAAGACAUAGAGACCAGAACAGAAGAGGAGAGACACAUCGGAC
Molecule: long non-coding RNA, 475 nt
Organism: Oncorhynchus tshawytscha (Chinook salmon)
Lineage: Eukaryota; Metazoa; Chordata; Actinopteri; Salmoniformes; Salmonidae
Source: Ensembl